AUACGUAGGGGGCGAGCGUUGUCCGGAAUGAUUGGGCGUAAAGGGCGCGUAGGCGGCCCGGUAAGUCUGGAGUGAAAGUCCUGUUUUUAAGAUGGGAAUUGCUUUGGAUACUGUCGGGCUUGAGUGCAGGAGAGGUAAGUGGAAUUCCCAGUGUAGCGGUGAAAUGCGUAGAGAUUGGGAGGAACACCAGUGGCGAAGGCGGCUAACUGGAACGAACCUGACGGUGAGGGACGAAAGCUAGGGGCGCGAACCGGAUUAGAUACCCGGGUAGUCCUAGCCGUAAACGAUGCGGACUUGGUGUUGGGAUGGCUUUGAGCCGCUUCGGUGCCGAAGGGAAGCUGUUAAGUCCGCCGCCUGGGAAGUACGGUCGCAAGACUGAAACUCAAAGGAAUUGGCGGGG
RNAcentral lists this ribosomal RNA (400 nucleotides) under uncultured bacterium. RNAcentral's name for it is "partial 16S ribosomal RNA". It matches the Rfam family "Bacterial small subunit ribosomal RNA", at positions 523 to 918 of the family's 1533-position model. The record is from RNAcentral.